UGGGGAAUAUUGCACAAUGGGGGAAAGACCCUGAUGCAGCGACGCCGCGUGAGUGAAGAAGUAUUUCGGUAUGUAAAGCUCUAUCAGCAGGGAAGAAAAUGACGGUACCUGACUAAGAAGCCCGCUACAUACGUGCCAGCAGCCGCGGUAAUACGUAGGGGCGAAGCGUUAUCCGGAUUUACUGGGUGUAAAGGGAGCGUAGACGGCUGUGCAAGUCUGAUGUGAAAAGGCAGGGGCUCAACUCCUGGACUGCAUUGGAAACUGUGUAGCUUGAGUGCCGGAGAGGUAAGCGGAAUUCUAGUGUAGCGGUGAAAUGCGUAGAUAUUAGGAGGAACACCAGUGGCGAAGGCGGCUUACUGGACGGUAAACUGACGUUGAGGCUCGAAAAGCGUGGGGAGCAAAACAGGAUUAGAUACC
This 417-nucleotide ribosomal RNA is filed under the name uncultured bacterium. Its description in RNAcentral is "bacterial SSU rRNA". It matches the Rfam family "Bacterial small subunit ribosomal RNA", at positions 355 to 786 of the family's 1533-position model. The record is from RNAcentral.